RNAcentral lists this ribosomal RNA (468 nucleotides) under uncultured bacterium. RNAcentral describes it as "partial 16S ribosomal RNA". It matches the Rfam family "Bacterial small subunit ribosomal RNA", at positions 28 to 507 of the family's 1533-position model. The record is from RNAcentral.
GACGAACGCUGGCGGCGUGCUUAACACAUGCAAGUCGAACGGAAAGGCCCUGCUUUUGUGGGGUGCUCGAGUGGCGAACGGGUGAGUAACAAGUGAGUAGCCUGCCCUUGACUUUGGGAUAACUUCAGGAAACUGGGGCUAAUACCGGAUAGGAGCUCCUGCUGCAUGGUGGGGGUUGGAAAGUUUCGGCGGUUGGGGAUGGACUCGCGGCUUAUCAGCUUGUUGGUGGGGUAGUGGCUUACCAAGGCUUUGACGGGUAGCCGGCCUGAGAGGGUGACCGGCCACAUUGGGACUGAGAUACGGCCCAGACUCCUACGGGAGGCAGCAGUGGGGAAUAUUGCACAAUGGGCGGAAGCCUGAUGCAGCAACGCCGCGUGCGGGAUGACGGCCUUCGGGUUGUAAACCGCUUUCGCCUGUGACGAAGCGUGAGUGACGGUAAUGGGUAAAGAAGCACCGGCUAACUACGUG